AGGACGAACGCUGGCGGCGCGCUUAACACAUGCAAGUCGAGCGAGAACCAGUCCUUCGGGACUGGGGACAGCGGCGAACGGGUGAGUAACACGUGGGUAAUCUGCCCUCGAUCCUGGGAUAGCCCGGGGAAACCCGGAUUAAUACUGGAUAGCCUCUCGAGCUCUCGAGCUCUUGAGAAAAGGUGCUUCGGCCUCCGAUCGAGGAUGAGCCCGCGGCGGAUUAGCUUGUGGUGGGUAAUGGCCUACCAAGGCGACGAUCCGUAGCUGGUCUGAGAGGACGAUCAGCCACACUGGGACUGAGACACGGCCCAGACUCCUACGGGAGGCAGCAGUGGGGAAUCUUGCGCAAUGGGCGAAAGCCUGACGCAGCGACGCCGCGUGGGGGAAGAAGGCCUUCGGGUUGUAAACCUCUUUCAGCAGGACGAAGCCACUCGGUUAAUAGCCUAGAGGUGACGGUACCUGCAGAAGAAGACCCCCGGCUAACUACGUGCCAGCAGCCGCGGUAAC
RNAcentral lists this ribosomal RNA (507 nucleotides) under uncultured soil bacterium. RNAcentral's name for it is "bacterial SSU rRNA". It matches the Rfam family "Bacterial small subunit ribosomal RNA", at positions 26 to 524 of the family's 1533-position model. The record is from RNAcentral.